CAGCUGCCUGCUACUGGCAUUUAACCAACAUGAAAGCACUCGUUCUCGUCAGCCUGCUGAUCAGGACCUGCUUCACACUAACCUUCGAGGACACCACUAGUCAUUACAAUACGACGGGGCCGUGUCCAACGCCAUACCUGGUAGGAGAGCAUUACUUUCGGCCCGACUGCCAACUGUGCCUAUGUUAUGAUGGCUUCUACACCUGCUUUAUGUGUCCCAGAGUGAACAUAUACAGCUCAACUUGUAAAAGAGUAAUAC
This is a long non-coding RNA of Physella acuta, 258 nucleotides long. RefSeq lists it as uncharacterized. The record is from RefSeq and is a predicted model, not a curated record. NCBI's taxonomy places the organism in Eukaryota, Metazoa, Mollusca, Gastropoda, Physidae.